GUCCACGCCCUAAACGAUGUCGACUGGUUGUUGGGGGUUUGACACUCUCAGUAACGAAGCUAACGCGUGAAGUCGACCGCCUGGGGAGUACGGCCGCAAGGUUAAAACUCAAAGGAAUUGACGGGGACCCGCACAAGCGGUGGAUUAUGUGGAUUAAUUCGAUGCAACGCGAAAAACCUUACCUACCCUUGACAUGUCCUAGAGGCUGGAGAGAUCCAGCUGUGCCCGAAAGGGAUCGGAACACAGGUGCUGCAUGGCUGUCGU
RNAcentral lists this ribosomal RNA (264 nucleotides) under uncultured bacterium. RNAcentral's name for it is "partial 16S ribosomal RNA". It matches the Rfam family "Bacterial small subunit ribosomal RNA", at positions 793 to 1055 of the family's 1533-position model. The record is from RNAcentral.